ACAGGAUAUUGCAUCAGCCAGCACUAUUGGAAGAUGCUGGUUUGUCAGUGUUUUCUUCACUAUAAGCCUGGCCUUCAGUGGAUUGGAUCUCUCUGCCAUGGACUGUACUGUAACAAGAGCAGAAUAUUGUAGAGAUAUGCUUAAACCCUGACGAAAACAGUUAACUUCUCAGAUACAAAAUUCGUAAAUCUUUUUCAAAGGAGCUCAGGAUUGGGAUGAAGACAAAGCUUGGAAUACAUUCAGAGCCACAUGCAGCAGACGGACUGUCCCCAGCUCACUGCGACUAUUUUUCUCCAAGUUCUGAAGAAAGAUCACAGGACUCAAAAUGUUAACUCCACUUCUCUCUCCACAGAAGCAGCCAGACUUGCUGAGGUUCUCCAACAAUGUGUUUGUUGCCGAUUUCCAGGGUUUAUGGCUGCCUUUCUACCCACCGUCCCGCCAUCUCUACCUUUCUGUUUCACACACACACGCUCUUUCUGACCUGCCGCCAUCCCACCCCUUUACACCAAUGACUGCCUCUGGCUGGUAACUUGAACCUUUCCUGAAAAUGUCAUUCGCUGAAGAGUCAAAAACACGACAUUGAUUUACCACAAACAGAUGCGAUGUCAUUGCUAACUUUUAAAUGCCCUUCAGUGCACCUGAUUUAACUCAUUCUAAGGUGGAGUGUGUCAUUGCUGUACCUGCCUUGUGAUAUUUGCAUUUAUGUAGCACCAUUCAAAACUUUAAUUAAAGACCUUUACGACA
Long non-coding RNA from Rhincodon typus (whale shark), 744 nucleotides. RefSeq lists it as uncharacterized. The record is from RefSeq and is a predicted model, not a curated record. The transcript is spliced from 3 exons. Lineage: Eukaryota; Metazoa; Chordata; Chondrichthyes; Orectolobiformes; Rhincodontidae.